ACGGGAGGCAGCAGUGGGGAAUAUUGGGCAAUGGGCGAAAGCCUGACCCAGCAACGCCGCGUGAAGGAAGAAGAUCUUCGGUUUGUAAACUUCUUUUAUGAGGGACGAAGGAAGUGACGGUACCUCAUGAAUAAGCCACUGCUAACUACGUGCCAGCAGCCGCGGUAAUACGUAGGUGGCAAGCGUUAUCCGGAUUUACUGGGUGUAAAGGGCGCGUAGGCGGGAGAGCAAGUCAGAUGUGAAAUCUGUGGGCUUAACUCACAAACUGCAUUUGAAACUGUUUUUCUUGAGUGCUGGAGAGGUAUAUGGAAUUCCUUGUGUAGCUGUGAAAUGCGUAGAUAUAAGGAAGAACACCAGUGGCGAAGGCGAUCUACUGGACAGUAACUGACGCUGAGGCGCGAAAGCGUGGGGAGCAAACAGGAUUAGAUACCCUGGUA
Molecule: ribosomal RNA, 437 nt
Rfam family: Bacterial small subunit ribosomal RNA